AGCGAACGCUGGCGGCAGGCCUAACACAUGCAAGUCGAACGGAUCCUUCGGGAUUAGUGGCGGACGGGUGAGUAACACGUGGGAACGUGCCUUUUGGUUCGGAACAACUCAGGGAAACUUGAGCUAAUACCGAAUGUGCCCUUCGGGGGAAAGAUUUAUCGCCAUUAGAGCGGCCCGCGUCUGAUUAGCUAGUUGGUGAGGUAAAGGCUCACCAAGGCUACGAUCAGUAGCUGGUCUGAGAGGAUGAUCAGCCACAUUGGGACUGAGACACGGCCCAAACUCCUACGGGAGGCAGCAGUGGGGAAUCUUGCGCAAUGGGCGAAAGCCUGACGCAGCCAUGCCGCGUGAAUGAUGAAGGUCUUAGGAUUGUAAAAUUCUUUCACCGGGGACGAUAAUGACGGUACCCGGAGAAGAAGCCCCGGCUAACUUCGUG
RNAcentral lists this ribosomal RNA (433 nucleotides) under uncultured bacterium. RNAcentral's name for it is "bacterial SSU rRNA". It matches the Rfam family "Bacterial small subunit ribosomal RNA", at positions 29 to 507 of the family's 1533-position model. The record is from RNAcentral.